Molecule: ribosomal RNA, 241 nt
Filed under: Staphylococcus sp.
Lineage: Bacteria; Bacillati; Bacillota; Bacilli; Caryophanales; Staphylococcaceae
Description: partial 16S ribosomal RNA
Rfam family: Bacterial small subunit ribosomal RNA
Source: RNAcentral
CGGAUUAUUGGGCGUAAGCGCGCGUAGGCGGUUUUUUAAGUCUGAUGUGAAAGCCCACGGCUCAACCGUGGAGGGUCAUUGGAAACUGGAAAACUUGAGUGCAGAAGAGGAAAGUGGAAUUCCAUGUGUAGCGGUGAAAUGCGCAGAGAUAUGGAGGAACACCAGUGGCGAAGGCGACUUUCUGGUCUGUAACUGACGCUGAUGUGCGAAAGCGUGGGGAUCAAACAGGAUUAGAUACCCC